RNAcentral lists this ribosomal RNA (617 nucleotides) under uncultured bacterium. Its description in RNAcentral is "bacterial SSU rRNA". The stretch from base 1 to 532 matches the Rfam family "Bacterial small subunit ribosomal RNA", at positions 338 to 873 of the family's 1533-position model. The record is from RNAcentral.
CCUACGGGAGGCAGCAGUGAGGAAUAUUGCGCAAUGGACGAAAGUCUGACGCAGCCAUGCCGCGUGCAGGAUGACGGCCCUAUGGGUUGUAAACUGCUUUUGUAUGGGAAUAAACCCUUCUACGUGUAGAAGGCUGAAGGUACCAUAAGAAUAAGCACCGGCUAACUCCGUGCCAGCAGCCGCGGUAAUACGGAGGGUGCAAGCGUUAUCCGGAUUUAUUGGGUUUAAAGGGUCCGUAGGCGGGCCGAUAAGUCAGUGGUGAAAGCCCAUAGCUCAACUAUGGAACUGCCAUUGAUACUGUCGGUCUUGAGUAUAUGUGAUGUUGGCGGAAUGUGUAGUGUAGCGGUGAAAUGCUUAGAUAUUACACAGAACACCGAUUGCGAAGGCAGCUGACAAAUAUAUAACUGACGCUGAGGGACGAAAGUGUGGGGAUCAAACAGGAUUAGAUACCCUGGUAGUCCACACCGUAAACGAUGAUUACUAGAUUUUGGCCUUAUGUNAGAGUCGAGAGAAGUAGUUAAGUAAGUACACCGUGGGUAAGGUACGUCCGCGAGAGUUAGAACGUACGAAGAAGUUAGAGGCGNGAGAGNGCCGACGGACGACGACGAGGGAGGAGG